RNAcentral lists this ribosomal RNA (253 nucleotides) under uncultured bacterium. Its description in RNAcentral is "partial 16S ribosomal RNA". It matches the Rfam family "Bacterial small subunit ribosomal RNA", at positions 524 to 776 of the family's 1533-position model. The record is from RNAcentral.
AACGUAGGUGACAAGCGUUAUCCGGAUUUACUGGGCGUAAAGCGCGUGCAGGCGGCUUGGCAAGUCGGGCAUGAAAUCUUUCGGCUUAACCGGGAGAGGCUGUCCGAUACUGCUGGGCUUGAGGGCAGUAGAGGGUGGUGGAAUUCCGCAUGUAGUGGUGAAAUGCGUAGAUAUGCGGAGGAACACCAGUGGCGAAGGCGGCCACCUGGACUGCUCCUGACGCUGAAGCGCGAAAGCUAGGGUAGCGAACGGG